GUGCGGGGCCGCGCUUCCGCCAGCGCCGCAGCGGGGAAUCUGCAGUAGGUCUGCCGGCGAUGGAGUGGUGGGCUAGCUCGCCGCUUCGGCUCUGGCUGCUGUUGUUCCUCCUGCCCUCAGCGCAGGGCCGCCAGAAGGAGUCAGGUUCAAAAUGGAAAGUAUUUAUUGACCAAAUUAACAGGUCUUUGGAGAAUUACGAACCAUGUUCAAGUCAAAACUGCAGCUGCUACCAUGGUGUCAUAGAAGAGGAUCUAACUCCUUUCCGAGGAGGCAUCUCCAGGAAGAUGAUGGCAGAGGUAGUCAGACGGAAGCUAGGGACCCACUAUCAGAUCACUAAGAACAGACUGUACCGGGAAAAUGACUGCAUGUUCCCCUCAAGGUGUAGUGGUGUUGAGCACUUUAUUUUGGAAGUGAUCGGGCGUCUCCCUGACAUGGAGAUGGUGAUCAAUGUACGAGAUUAUCCUCAGGUUCCUAAAUGGAUGGAGCCUGCCAUCCCAGUCUUCUCCUUCAGUAAGGCUAGACUUUGGAAAAUAGGGAAAAUAUAUCUUUGACAAUGUGACACUAAACCAAGGCUGUCCAGAUCCUGUGGCAUGAUUGCAGUUGCCUCUUUUCACUGUUCCAAGACUGAUUUAGGACGACCUGUCUGUUUUUGUUGAAGACAUCAGAGUACCAUGAUAUCAUGUAUCCUGCUUGGACAUUUUGGGAAGGGGGACCUGCUGUUUGGCCAAUUUAUCCUACAGGUCUUGGACGGUGGGACCUCUUCAGAGAAGAUCUGGUAAGGUCAGCAGCACAGUGGCCAUGGAAAAAGAAAAACUCUACAGCAUAUUUCCGAGGAUCAAGGACAAGUCCAGAACGAGAUCCUCUCAUUCUUCUGUCUCGGAAAAACCCAAAACUUGUUGAUGCAGAAUACACCAAAAACCAGGCCUGGAAAUCUAUGAAAGAUACCUUAGGAAAGCCAGCUGCUAAGGAUGUCCAUCUUGUGGAUCACUGCAAAUACAAGUAUCUGUUUAAUUUUCGAGGCGUAGCUGCAAGUUUCCGGUUUAAACACCUCUUCCUGUGUGGCUCACUUGUUUUCCAUGUUGGUGAUGAGUGGCUAGAAUUCUUCUAUCCACAGCUGAAGCCAUGGGUUCACUAUAUCCCAGUCAAAACAGAUCUCUCCAAUGUCCAAGAGCUGUUACAAUUUGUAAAAGCAAAUGAUGAUGUAGCUCAAGAGAUUGCUGAAAGGGGAAGCCAGUUUAUUAGGAACCAUUUGCAGAUGGAUGACAUCACCUGUUACUGGGAGAACCUCUUGAGUGAAUACUCUAAAUUCCUGUCUUAUAAUGUAACGAGAAGGAAAGGUUAUGAUCAAAUUAUUCCCAAAAUGUUGAAAACUGAACUAUAGUAGUCAUCAUAGGACCAUAGUCCUCUUUGUGGCAACAGAUCUCAGAUAUCCUACGGUGAGAAGCUUACCAUAAGCUUGGCACCUAUACCUUGAAUAUCUGCUAUCAAGCCAAAUACCUGGUUUUCCUUAUCAUGCUGCACCCAGAGCAACUCUUGAGAAAGAUUUAAAAUGUGUCUAAUACACUGAUAUGAAGCAGUUCAACUUUUUGGAUGAAUAAGGACCAGAAAUCGUGAGAUGUGGAUUUUGAACCCAACUCUACCUUUCAUUUUCUUAAGACCAAUCACAGCUUGUGCCUCAGAUCAUCCACCUGUGUGAGUCCAUCACUGUGAAAUUGACUGUGUCCAUGUGAUGAUGCCCUUUGUCCCAUUAUUUGGAGCAGAAAAUUCGUCAUUUGGAAGUAGUACAACUCAUUGCUGGAAUUGUGAAAUUAUUCAAGGCGUGAUCUCUGUCACUUUAUUUUAAUGUAGGAAACCCUAUGGGGUUUAUGAAAAAUACUUGGGGAUCAUUCUCUGAAUGGUCUAAGGAAGCGGUAGCCAUGCCAUGCAAUGAUGUAGGAGUUCUCUUUUGUAAAACCAUAAACUGUGUUACUCAGGAGGUUUCUAUAAUGCCACAUAGAAAGAGGCCAAUUGCAUGAGUAAUUAUUGCAAUUGGAUUUCAGGUUCCCUUUUUGUGCCUUCAUGCCCUACUUCUUAAUGCCUCUCUAAAGCCAAAAAAAAAAAAAAAGACAAAGCCUCUUAAUAAAUUUAAUGGAACUAUACAUAGAACAGCAGCUCUUCCUCACCCUUUGCAUACCUUUAAUAUUUUUCCUUCUUAAAUUGGCCACAGCAGGGGUCAUUCACACUCUCACUGUCUUGCAGGAAUCACAAGAAGUCUUCAUAUGUGAACGUGCCAUUCAGUUGGUAGUUAAGAGCAUUCAACUUCAAAUAUAUAGAAGAUAUUUGUUUUAGUGCAAAUCCAUGAUGGAGUGCCUCCCUUUUCCUUUUUUCACUUUUUGAAAAAGAUGUUUUGGGUAGUAGUUUAAUAUCUCAGGGUGCUCUUUCUAACAUAGUAAAAAAUGAAGAAAAAUGUUUAGAUUAAAACUCUGUAGUCUGAUGACUUAGAACCAUCCUUGACCCUUAGGCCCAACCUUUCCACAGAGAAAUCACCUCUCUUCCUUUGUCUUUUAAGAACUAUUUGGUAUUAACUAGUUUCAGAAUUAGUAAAUGUGAGAUUCAGUCACAUAAUUAUCAGACAUUCCAUUUGUCAGAAAUGUAUUUGGCUUUUUAAACUCCUUUCCACAAAAGUUUAAGUCUAAUGACCUUCUUAGAGAAGUUGAGCAUGCCUGGCAAGAUCAUUUCAUGGAAUAAGCAGAUGUUUAAAGUUGGAUUUUUUUUUUUUUUUUUUUUUGAGUACUAGCAAUGCACAGGGACCGUGUUCUUAGGUUCUUAGUCUGUGAAUCUAGCAAUAGGCAGUCCAGAUUUCUGAGUCGUACUAUGGUUUUGCCUUGUCACUGUGAGGCCCUACUAGGUGUAAGCAUUCUCUCUGAAUUUUAAUUUCCUCUCAUUAAAAUAGGAACAAAAUUUGCUAUCCUUUAGAUUAGGAGCUGAAGAUUCAUUUCCCUGGGAAUGUUUCCCAUUUAGCUUCAAGUUUCAGCUCAAACAUCACCUUCUUUCUGACUCCUUUCAUUCAUUCCUCCAGGCAGUAAGGGGCUACCAUAGUACUUUGUUUAUGCCUGUAUUAUAUGACAUCACUGUAGUUGCUUGACUGUUUCUCCUACUGUUCUGUAAACUUAUUAAUGGGUGAGAAUCUAAUUUUACUCAUCUUGAUGGCUUCAUGAUCCAGCACAGUGCCUCACACAAAGAACUAUUGGGUGGGUGGAUGGAUGGAUGGAGGAAUGGAGACAGUUGGCUUAACCAGAUCCUAUAUACAGAUUAUUACUGGCUCCAAAGGAUGAGUAGAUAAGACCAUAAGAAUUGGAUCAAUGUAAAUCCUCACCUGCCCUUUGAAGAGCCAAUAAGGGCAUCUUUGUCUUUAAAUACAGCAAAUGUUAUUCAGAUUUUGUACUUGUCUAUCUGUUUACCUCAGUGUAGAUGAUAUGAGGAUGGUAUAACUAUGUAAAUUGUUUUUGAAAAUAAUUUGUUUCCCCACAACUUUUGAAGGUUUUAUUUGUUGUUGUUAUUACUAGUUCAGUCCCAAACUUACCCUUUCCUUUUCAGAGAGCUAAUGGCCAUGCUUUUCUUCAAGGAAAGAAUAAUUUAUUUGAAUGAAGUGGGAUACUUGCAUAACACAAA
Molecule: RNA transcript, 3651 nt
Organism: Homo sapiens (human)
Lineage: Eukaryota; Metazoa; Chordata; Mammalia; Primates; Hominidae
Gene: POGLUT1
Gene name: protein O-glucosyltransferase 1
Exons: 11
Source: RefSeq, marked reviewed